GUGAUGAAUCAGAACAACAUGCAGAACUAAAGGGACAUGGUUCAUCGGAUCAUGGUGAGGAAGUAGGUUGUGGUGCAGAGUUUAAGGAAGUUGGCACUGGUGAAGGUACCAAAGAGUAAGUCACUGCAACUUUGGUAUCUGCGUAGACCUAAUAUCAUAUUACCUCAUCAAAUCAAAGUUCAUAUGUUCAUUUCUUAUCCGAUGACCUGCAUGAUAUGAGAGCUCUUAGAUUGAGAGGUGGAUUUGUUCGCCUGUCAAUGCAGUAUGCAUUGCAUGUGUAGAAAGUGUUGUCUAGUUAAACGUCUUUAAUGUUUCGUUCAAUAAUGGCCUUCUGUUAUGGCACUCCAGGUAUAUUUGUAUGAUGUUCAUUUUGUUUUUAUCAACUUUACGUACCGUUGGCUAUAUGAUAUAAGAUGAAUCGAUAAAUACGACUUUACUAGAGGUUAUGCAUGAUGCUUCUUAAAAUGAUGUAGGAAGAUAUUGUUGGUGAAGCAUAAUGAUGCAUUGGUGAUCUUGAUUUUCAUUACAAAUAAAUCAAUUUACUUGUUUGAAAAUAGUGACCUUGCUGCUUAAAUUCCAUGAUCGGUCGACAAGCAUCAACGAAGUCUCAUUGGGUAAACACACCAUAGCAUAGAGAGUCAUGCCCACAUAUUUUAUAGAGUUUAAUCCAAUGGAGUAAUCUUACUCCAAAACUCUAAGGUGGGUUCAUCUUCCAUAUCCAGUUAGUUGUAGAUUGGUAGUGAUAUCAUUUUGUCACCAGGAAUAAUCGAUAUCAUUAACUUGAUGAGUUUAAGCUCAAGCUAAUGAAGAUGAACACAUUUUUUUAUCUUAAUCGAUUCAUUUCUCAUUUAACAACGGUGACCUAGUAAGAAGAAAAUAUUACGUAGGGGGACUAAUGUCGAUGACAAAUCUAGUUGACCGAGAAAUCAGAUCUAGGGCAGUUGAAGUCCAUCUACCAACACGGAUCAUCACCAUCAUCUUUUCUUGUCGAAACGUAAUGUUGCAAGAUAUCAAGCAUACAUGCAUUAAGAUUCACGGUAAGUCAGAUCUUGAUGUCACAAUAUGAAUUUGCGACAGGACAGGCAAUGGUAUUGCAAUCCACAUAUCUCGUAUAAUACCAACGUCAGAUCUUGCAACAUCAACCCAAUUAUAUCAUGAUCAAGAGAUACAUUGUUCAUCAUAAUCUGAUUUUUAGGGCAAACUCGAAUCUAAUUACAUCGACAUAUCGUAUAAUAUAAGGGGAAAAAAAAAAGGAGAAGAAAAAGCGGAUGGCGUCGGGAGAUUCACGGAUCGAUCGAUUUCAAGAAUGAUGAGGAGGAGAAGGGAAGGGGGGUUGGAGCUGGAGGUCGUCGUACUCGUCGUGGCUGAUGGGCUUGGUGAGCAUGAGGGGGCGGUCCUUGGCCUCCUUCGGCUCAUCGUGCUCGUCCUCCGCGAUGCUGAGGUUGAUGCAGGAGCAACCCUCCAGGGAGGCGAAGAAGGCAGACACCACGCUCACCCCCACCCACCACGCCAUCCCUCCUGCGCUCUCGUAUGUCGAUUCCACGCCCUACUGCGAGUUCUCUUCCAUUGCCAUUCGCCUGCUUGCCCGCCGCCAGCUUCAUCUCGCCUCCUCCCCGCCUUUCAAGCGAAAAAGAAGAAAGCUUGACUGAGAACGAGAAUAAAAAGAAAGACCGAUCGAACCCAAUUAUUUUGUAUGCCAAAAUAGGCGGCUGUUGGUUGGCCUCGAGAAAACCUUGCCUUCUUUUUUAAUAUGAUUAUAAAAUGUUAAUUAAUCAACGGUGGAUAUGCGUGCACAUGUGCAUCGGACAGUUCCGAGUAUGAUUGGAUCGGAUUCGCUUUCCAUCAGAUCAUGAAUAUGAUAAAAGAGGAUCCGAACCCAACUCUAAUUAUGCUUUGUAGGUUGUCGGCAACUUAUGUUUCGACCCAAUUGCAUGUCAUAAAAUAAUCAUAUUACAUCAUGAUAAAUCAUACUAAUAUCAACAUGUAAAUGUGAAUAAACAUUAUGAUUAUUUUAUGAUUAUGUAAAGAAUUUUAAUGUCAAAAACUAAAAUCAAAUGUACGAAACAUAUCUUUCAAUAUCAUUCAGAAAGUCUUUAUUUGAUUUGUAAACAUACGAUCGUUGGAUCCAAAAACUAUAGCGAUAUUAAUCUAUGAGGAGAAUCAAACUUGUCUUCCCUCUCUUUUUAUCCUUUAUAAGAUAACGAUGGAUUAAAAGGAAGAUGAAAUAAGGUCUAACUAUUAGAUUCUGUAUUUUUAUAGACAAGAGCAUAAGGUCUAAGAUGGUAAUUAGGAUAGUCCCUCCUAUCAAAGUUAUUUUCUGGGAAAUCCUAUCAUAAUUAGACUUUCUUUCUAUUGACCGAUAAUCGUAAUCAAAAUCCAAUCAAAUCUAUAAUAUAUCUUAUCUAAUUUGAUAAGAUCAUAUAAUUUAAUAUUCUUUCACUUGAUGUAUUAACUAGUAAGAUAUAAAAAUUUUAAAAUUAAAAUAUAUAUUUAAAAUUAGAAUAUAUAAAAAAAUUUAUUUAAAUAAUAAUUUUAUUUAAGUAAAUUAUAAAACUUAAAAAAAAUAUCUUACAAGUGUGUACGAAUUUUAUAAAACAGGUUAAUAAGUUCAAUAAAUAUAAUAAUAUCAUAUUAAGCCUGAUUAUCAAUGUCAGUCAUAGCGAUUGUAUGUCAUCAAUGUCAUAUUUAUUUUCAUUUAUCAUAACAUCAUUAGCUCUUACUAAUGUAAUCCAAAAUUAUUCUUAUAAUAUGUCUUAUCAAAACAAUCAUAUUGUUGCAUUCAACUAUAAUAUGUGCAUAUAUAAAUACGAAUAAGAUAGUAAAAAUAAAUAAUUUUAAUUACAUAAAUAAGAAUAUCAAUUAUAAUGUCUACUCAAAUAUAUAUUACUAUAUCUUUUAUGGGUUGCUCACAAACUCAAUCAUAAGAAUAUAUUCUUUCAAACACUUUGUCGUAAAUCCAAAGUCAAUGGAUUAUCAAUCAAUACAGUAUAACUCAAGUUCUUAAUAGACAUUAAUUGUUUCUAAACUUUUUCUUAAAUCAUUAAGUAUUUUAUAUUAUAAUGCAUGGAACUGCUAUAAUAUUUGUCAUUUUUAAAGAAGAAAACUAUCAUGAUAUUUCAAAAUAUAUUUCUUCAAUGAUUUGAUAAUUAAGUCCGACCACACUAAGUCCUCGGUCACAAAGCUUAAUUAGUGGUCUCAAAGCAUGCUAUAUAAUCAACUUUUAUUAUUGAUAAUAUAAUAAUAUAUAUUUUUAAUAUUUUUUUCCUAUAAUUGCCCCUCUAACUAAUAUAAAUAUAAAACGUAAAUUGGACUUCCUACUAUCGAGGUAAUUUACAGAAUCAACAUAUGAAAAAUAUCAUCAUUUUAAGUUAAUUAAAUUUUAUAUAUGUAAAGUAUAUAAUCCUUCGUUCAUUUCAGAUAUCUUUUUACUUUCUGUGUAGCCUUUUAGUAUUUUAUUAUUAAAGAACUCUAAUAUUUUGACUAUAAAAUUGAUAUCUAGUUUAGUAUAAGCAUGAGCAUAUAAUAGACUUACAAGUACACAUACAUAAUAAAUAUUUUUUAUCUAUUUUUUAAAUUAUUUUAAAAAAAAUACUUAUUUUGACUAAAAUAUUUUUAUUAUAUUAUUUGUUAAAUAAAAUUACAUAUUAAAUCUCUCUAAGACUUGAUCACUAUAUUCUUUCUAAGAUAAUCAUUACAAUCGUUGACAUAUAUCUCUGAAUAUCUCAAUAUUAAUAAUAUAAAAUAUCUCAUUCAUAUCAAUUAUCUUAAAAUUCUUGAUGAAUUUUUUUUAUUUGGUAUAAUAAAUCAAGAUCAGUACUAACAAGCAAAAUAUUAUCCACAUAUAGACCAAUAUAAUAAAUUUACUCCCACUAAUCUUCAAAUAUAAAUACUAAUUAAUAAUAUUUUUAAAUAUGAAGAAAGUAAUGAUAUUAUGAAACAUCGUAUACCAUUAUUGGAGGCUUAUUUAAAGUCGUAAAUAUAUUUCUUAAAUUUUCAUACCAUAUUAUAUAUUUCUUUUAUUUUCUUUGUGAAUUGUUUAGGUUAAUCCAUAUAAAUCUACAUCCUCAUCCAAAAAAAUUUAUUUUUAUAUCCAUAUGAUAUAACUCAAAAUUAUAAUAAGUUACUAAUAUCAUAACAAUUUUUAACGAGUUGAUUUAAAAAACUAGAUAAAAUAUAUCAUUAUGGUCGAUGUGUUCUUUAUAAAUAAAAUCUUUGAUCACAAAUCUAGUUGUUAUAUUGUUCGAUAUUAUUUUUUCAAUCAUGUUUAUAUAAAUGACUCCUUUUAUAAUUAUUGGAUGAUUUGAUAAGCUCUCAAAUACUAUUUUGGUCUAUUGAUUUCAAUUCUUUUUUUAUUAUAUGGUAUUGUUUUUUAGAAUCGUUAUAUUUCAUAACUUAUGAAAAUAAUAAGAGAUCCUUUUAAUUCUUAUAUCAUAGUAUGAUAUUUUUAGAUAUACUACAUAAUAAUCAGAAAUAAAAAGUCUCAUUUCCUUUAAGAUCUUAUCAAAAUUAUCAGUUAUGGAUAUUUUAAAAGACCAUUAGUGAUGAUAUCAAUAUCAUAUGUGUAUUCAUUAAUAUUAUUUUAUUAUUCACCGUCAUCAAUUCUUUUAGUGAUUUGAAAAAUAACAAUCUCUAGAAUAUUAAAUGAUAAAAAAUAUUAAUAUAUAUUUUAAUAUCAAGAUUAAAUUUUGAGAUUCACUCCCACUAAUUUCCUAUUAUUUAAGAAUUUUAUAUUAUCAAAUUCAACUAUUUUUGCACUAUGAUUAUGGUAAUAAAAUCGAUAAUCCUUUAUUUUUUAAUAAAUAAUGAAAUAUUUAAAAAUAAUCCUCGAAUUUAAUUUCAUUUUAUGUGAUUUAAAUAUUCUUAUCUUUAUAUGAUAAUCCUAAAUAUAUAAAUAUCUCAAGCUGAGUUUCCUAUUAGUCGAUAACUCAAAAGAAUUUAGAUUUUCUAUCAAUUAUAAACACUAGGAAUCAUAUUUAAGAUAUACAUAACUAGCUUUAAAAUUUUACCUCACAGUAAUUUGGGUAUAGAAAACAACUUAUUAUAUUUCUAACCAUAUUUAUAAUAGUAAAAUUUUGCUUUUCAAUAAUUUUAUUUUGUUAUGGUAUAUCUAGUAAAAUAUAUUAAGCACAAGUAUCUUGCCUUUCUGAUAAUCUAGUAAAAGAACUAUAAUUAUAAUCGAGUUCAUUAUAAUUACUAUAAAAUUUAUCAUCCUUAUCAGAUAAUUUUAAUUUUUCUAUCUAAUUAUCUCUCGACUUUAUUUAUAUAUAUCAAAAUAUGUAAACAGACCUUAUUUAAAUUAGAUAUAUAUAGUCAUAUCUCAAUAAGUAAUUUGAACAAAAUGAUUUGACUGGUGAUAUCUCUGUCUUGGCCCUUUGAGCUUAGGCCUUGCAGGACUGGGAAUACAAGUUCAUGGGCAAAUAUGCCAAAGUUGGAACAAUAAAAAAAACAGUGCCAGAGGGGUCCAAUGACGGCACCUUUGAAAUAACAAAAAAAAUCUUAGAGGCUACGGAUGAUUGAUAAACGAGAUGAACAUAGUGCAGAAACAAAGAAGGAUGGUCAAGUAGAAAGUAGCACAAACAUAAAACACAGUGAAGAGCCGGAGGAUGGUGCGUCAGGUCAUGGUGAUGAAUCAGAACAACAAGUAGAACUAAAGGGACAUGGUUCAUCAGAUCCGGGUGAGGAAGCAUGUCAUGGUACAGAGUUGAAGGAAGUUGGCACCGGUGAAGAUACCAAAAAGUAAGUCACUGCAACUUUGGUGUCUGCGUAGACCUAAUAUCAUAUUCCCUCAUCAAAUCAAAGUUCAUAUGCUCACUUCUUAUCUGAUGACCUGCAUGAUAUGAGAGCUCUUAGAUUGAGAGGUGGAUCUAUUCGCCUGUCAGUAUGCAUUGCAUGUGUAGAAAUUGUUGUCUAGUUAAACGUCUUUAAUGCUUCUUUCAAUAAUGGCCUUCUGUUAUGGCACUCCAAGUAUUUGUAUGAUAUUCAUUUUGCUUUUAUCAACUUUACGUACCAUUGGCUAAAUGAUAUUAGAUGAAUUGAUAAAUACAAGUGACUUUACUAGAGGUUAUGCAUGACGCAUCUUAAAGUGGUAUAGGAAGAUAUUGUUGGUGAAGCAUAACGAUGCAUGUUGUUGGUGAUCUUGAUUUCCAAUACAAAUAAAUUCAUUUACUAU
RNAcentral lists this long non-coding RNA (6169 nucleotides) under Musa acuminata (dwarf banana). RNAcentral describes it as "long non-coding RNA (MACU_LNC006392)". Lineage: Eukaryota; Viridiplantae; Streptophyta; Magnoliopsida; Zingiberales; Musaceae. The record is from RNAcentral.